Molecule: long non-coding RNA, 8272 nt
Organism: Taeniopygia guttata (zebra finch)
Lineage: Eukaryota; Metazoa; Chordata; Aves; Passeriformes; Estrildidae
Source: RefSeq, a predicted model, not a curated record
CUCGCUCAUUGGCUGCGAGGAGUGACGCCAAGGCCGGGACAGCCCGCGAUUGGCCCGAGGCCGCGAGCAAGGGGGGAAGCGAAUUGCAUCAGACGUGAGGGCUGCGGGCGGUGUGGCGGGGCGAUGGGCGGGGCUUGUGAGGGGUUGUGGGGCAGAGCAGGGCCGUGAGGGGCCCGAGGGAACCGGGGGAACCGGGGGACCCGUGCCAACCGUGCCAACCGUGCCGUGCCGUGUCGUGCCCGCCAUGGCGGUGGCUGAAGUUGACCGGUUCCUUGAGGAGGCAGUGAACCAAGCCUAACGUGGCGAAACAGCUGAAGUCUCUCUUUGGUCUCCAUUCCGGAGCCGGUCUGUCACAAAUAGUCACAAGCAUAACAAUGCGGAGCACAAGUGCCACGAAUGGAGCUGUAGCAGAUGCUAUAAGAAUGAGCUGUUUAGUCUAAGAAGACCAAAAAAGCAGCGAGUCAUUGGAUUUAAUCCUGUGAUCCACGUGACUCAAGAAUGCUUCUCACCCUGCCUUCACCCUGCUGGGGGGUUCAGCACUACCACCAAGGAUGUGCCAAUGAGGAUACUGUUUGCUGUCCUGCCAGAAACCACAUAAGUUCCUGCUAAAAUAGCUUUAUGUUUUAUGUUCCAGGUGGCCAACCCACCAGAGGAAAUAAUUUUGUUUAACGAAGGUGGAGAGGCUUUACCCUUGUGUAAUCUCAGAUACAGAGAAAGAAAUGUGUGUUCAAUGUUAUCUACACAUGAAAAAAGGGGGAAUAGAGGAGGAAAGUAAAAUGGAAGAGGUGGGCAUACAGAAAAGAUUACCUGACAAUCAUAAUCUGAGAAAGAGCUUGCUUGCCAAAUGUGUGUCUGAAAAUACUUGGAUGGUGGCCCAGGCCUCCAAGUUCUUGACAACAGCUGGAGUGUUCCCAUUCCUGUAUCAAUAGCUGAUUAAAUGAGAAGAGAACCUGUUUAGCAGCCUAAAACAAGGUAAUUCAAAACCUGUAAACUAAUUUUACUUAUUCUUAAAUUUUGUCAUUACACAUUUGGAUUCAGGAGUGCAUCUUUCAAAGUUUUAGUGCUCUCAGUCUCAGGGAAUAUGCAGAAUCUGUAUCCUCUGGCUACUGCAAAGAACUGCCACCCUGCCUGCAUGGCUUUCCUUUCUCUUAACACUGCCACAAGCAAGCCUUUCAGAAAGGUGAUUUUCACUCAGCUCUCAUCCCUUCUCCAUUAAUACUUAAUAAGCUAUUGGGAUUCUGCUCAACUGGCUUCUGUGAUUGUUCCCAGGUUACCACCAGAAAAGCAUGGAACAGACACAGUGAGUUCAACUUUAAACCAUGAUUCUCCUAACAUAUGUGUGCCCUGCAUUCCAGUUCCCUGUCCUCCUGUCCUCAUGUUCCACCCACAUGUUACUGGUACUUCCAGCUACCCAGAAUUUCAAGGAAGAGUGAGGUAGGUCUGCCUGAGUUCCAUCUUAGGUCUUGGUUGUGGGCCAAAGGCCCGUAGGCUGGAGAGUCUUACUUGGUCUCUUUAUGGUUCAGUCCUCUGACCUAGCUGAUUGUGGUACACCUGUACCUGAAGUGACUCUUGUUACACUUCUUCUAAUACCUUCAGGCCUUCUUGCUGGAAUUCUGUCUGUAUUUUCCCCAUAGCAGUGUCCCAAGCACUGCAGGCAGCAUCAGCUGGCUCAGGCAGCCCGUAUCUUGUCACAGAGAUGUCUCAAAUGCCCCUUUUUAGGGUUAUCUGCCUCCCCAUGCAAUAGGGUUGGUUCUCCCAUCACCAUAGUCAAUGAAGUCUUGCUUCUGAUUCACAAAAGUCUGAGUUAACUCAGGCAACACUAUCAGUGUUUCUGGAACAAAUUCUGAAAGUUGACUAGAAACCAGGCCUUUUAUAAGGCUUUUCUUCAGGAAAAGAGGGUCUCCCUUCAGUGCUACAGGAGUUCCCAGCAGCCAUAGGCACUGAGGUUCACCUUGGAGCCUCUUUGGGUAGUUCAAUUCCGUUGCCCACAUGCAAAGAGAUUGUGCCCUAUUCCAGGUUUAAUGGUAGCUUAGCAGCAAUAAAUUUCAAUGCAGUACCUCAUAAAAAAAGGGAGAUUAGGAGCACAUUGCCCAAAAGCCAGGUGUAGAUGCACGUAUAGCAACUGAUUAACUUUUAGAAAAUAUGAACCUCCAUUGUGGCCUUCUUCUGUAGUGGCCUCUUUGCGUCACAGAUUGUUUGGAAACAAAAUAAUCUCAUGUUUCACACAUUUUGUGUGUGUAAUUCCUUUUGCUAUUGUUACAGAAUACAAGAUCAGAGAUUUUUCUUAAAACAGUCUAAUGAUAUAUUGUCUUUUUGAGUGUUAACAGUGAAUUUGAGAUCAAGCAAUCUCUAUAAAAGGCUCACAAUGUUCUUUGCAUCUCCAUAGUGGUUUUUUUCCCCUUGAAUUUCACUUGCAUUGUAAUUCCAAUUUGCUUCAUUUUAGACUCCUCUGAAACUCAAGAAUUCACUGGUAUCAGGCAAGACCAGAAAUGAACAAAUGUAUAUAAUUUUUUAGCAGAUGCAAUUUUUUUGCCAAUUUACUAUUUUUUCCAGAAAAUGGACAUGUUUAUUAAACAGCAAAGGUCCCAGUGUAGAAACAGCUUCCUAAUCCCUAUCACACUGCUGAGGAAUGCUGAUAUAAAGGGAAAAUCUAUCCACUUACAAGGACAUGGCAGUAUUUUGUGAUAAAGAUCUCUUGAUUUGAUUCUUUCUGUCAGACAGAGAAGGAAAUUUCUUGUGCACAUUCAGAGCUUGGAGCAAACCACUGAUGGGAAUUUAAAAGAAGACAAGAUAUCCACAUCGCAGUAAACAGAAAGACUGGCAAGCCUAUGCCCAGUUCUGGAAGAGUGAAAGGUUACUGGAAAACUCUGCAAACAUUAGUAAUGUAAAUAGAUCUUUAUACAUAGCCACUGGAUGUCCUUGGGAAGGUUUAUGCCAUCUGCCAGUCCCUGAGAGACUCCAGCUGGGAAUCAAACAGCUUUGGUCACUUAGCCAGGAAAAUGGGCUCAGGUCAGGUAAUCUGUUUGGUGGGCACCCCUGAUCUCUGCAGGAAUCCCACAGGUCAAGAGGAGGUUGCAGUUGUCAUUCAGGCUUUGCUUAGUAGUUCUGGCUUCUGUUUCCAAUCAAUUUGGCUCAUUCCCUUCCCACACCAUUCUUCUAUUGCUCUAUUGAUUCUGCUUCCAUUGCAUGGGUUCCCUUUCCAUUUAAAAAGUCCAGCUGCUGGCACCUCUGGUGCUUUGCUGUGGUUUAUCUGAUUGUAGUACCUAUUUCCAUGUGUAGUCCUACUUCAUCCCUUUGGCUUUUCUCUUUCUAGCUUGGUCCCAAGCACAGUGUUUCCCCGCAGGGUUCUCUCCUCCUGCUGGCAGGAAAAUGUGAGCCAGAGAGUUGUGCAGAGUAUGCAGGAUUUGGAGAUUCUGGGGGAUGCCACAGGAGCUGUGCACAGAGAGGGGUUGUGCUCUCCUGUGCACAACAGUUGUGCUCACCUGUGCUCAAACAGUUGUGCACAAGGAGGUGUUGUGCUCACCUCUGUACACUGAUGCUCUUUGACACAUUAGAGGUGGUAGUCACGAGAAAAAGAAAAAAGGUAAAGGUCCUACACCGACUUGAGAUGAUGCAGCAAGUGCAUUGUUUGGGGUGAAGCUUUGAAUGUUCUGGGCCAGUACAGGAGAGGCUGAACUUGCUGCUGUGCUGUCCCAGGGAACCCACAGUGCUGUUCUGGGUUUUGUGCCAGUGUCCCACAUGUUGAGCAAGCUCUCUGUGGAAAACACUUAACUUGAAAUCUCACAUACCUAAAAGCUCCUGUUCCAGUAAGUUUCUCUGUUUGCACAUCCUGGUUCAGAACUGGAACCUCUUCUUGGAAAAUACCCAGGGAGGUAAACAACCACGCUUAGGAAAACUUGAUGGCUGCUUCCUGUUGGCAGAAGCCUGCUCUUCUUUGGAGCAGUGCCUGCAUUUGAAAGGGAAAACCUUUUCUUAUUUCUUAGACCUUCCCUAGGCUUUGAAGUUAUUUUAGAAGUCCAGAGCCCCUGAGAGUCCUGGAAGCUUUCUUGUUUUGUAAUUUUGAAUUUAUUUCCUUAUAUUCUUCCAUUUGGGUGCCCUUUUGUAUGCAGAACCCUGUCUCCAGCUGUCAUGUGACCCUGUAAGAGAAGAGGAAAUUAUUAGGAAAUGCCAAGUUAGGAAUCAGUUCUGUUUCAGCAUAGGUUCAGCAGGACCCAAAAUGUGGGGGAUAUUGUCAGAAUCCUCCAUCUCCUGCCUGCUACAUUUUUGAUUUGCUGACUCCUCAGAGAGCACAGGGUAGCAGCUGGUGUUCGGAGAGGGACAAGUCUAUUAUGGUUUGUCUCUGGUAUCCUCACUGAUUUGCUCUGUUGGCACUGACUUUAAUGAUAACUAUUAUGUAAAUAGGCAGGGACAGCUAAAGACCUUAAUCUACUAAUUAAAUAGAUCCUAUACUAAUAGUUGAAUGUGGAAAAAGAGUGUUUUAAGGUGAUUAAUUAAAGUGUCAGUCAGAUUUUUUUACUUAGGUGGGUCAUUAAUAUAAUAGGUAACCCAAGAUGAAAUAGACUAAGUAAUUUCUUAACUCACUAUCACAUGAAACAAAUCCAUUGUUAAUGUGGGAGUGCCUUCAUUUUAGCCAGUGACAUUUGAAGAGUGUUUUUUGCUUUUGGUACUCAGAAGCACUGAAAUCUAUUUUUUGGCUUUAGCAUAGAGUUCUUCAUAUUGCAAUUAGUAUUAGCAGCUGAUACAUCAUACACUUUAACCAUGUGGUUCAAAUUUAUUCUGCAAUGUUUAAAUAUUGUUCAUUUUAUGUCAUUGCUUGAACUAGGGCUUCAUGAACAGCAGCUUGUACCCUAUAUUUAUCCCAGAAACACUAAUAGCAAUGUUGAAUUAAAUACAGAAGUGUCAGUAUCUAGAUUGUAUAUAAAUAUGUGAAAUAUACAGGGUGUGUUAUUUAUAUUUAAUUUCACUAGCAGCUUCUUCAAUAUUAUGAAUGAAGAAACUGCUAAGCAUUGACCUAAUGAACACAUGAAACUAACAGUAGUUAGGGAUUUAGUGCAACUACAACUGAAAGUGAGUAGAUGUGAUACAGAGCAAUCUCAGGAACACAGCAGCACAGUGAGACAUUGGUAUGGAUGCAUUUGAGGGUUUUUCUUGCAGAAUGAAUACUGAGAAUCUUGGAAAAUAUAGCUCCAAAUUUUUUCCAAAUCCGUUCUGUUCCAGCCACCCCUUGCAGGGAUUUUAGAUGACCAAAAAGCAUAUCGAAAUAGUUUCCUAAGUUUGUUUCUAAGAAUUCUUUUUUUCUUCUUUUGGCAACAUGAUCUGCUGUACCUGCCUGGUGAGGACUCUGAAGGAAAGCAUCAAGCACGGCUGUAUUGUCUUGCAACUCUUAUUUGAGCUUGUACUGUGUAUUGAGUUUGCAAAAAGAAAGGACUGAAUUUAUCUAAAUAAGGGUAUUUUCAGUACAAUCUACAUAAUUCAGUUUCACAGACUUGAUUCAUUAUUAUUUUUAACCUUCAGUAGAAAAUUACAUGUGCAGAGAGGUGAAGGAUUCCCCAAUCACCAUGUUUCCCCUUCAUGCAGAUUUAAAAGACUACAUGUUGUUUAAAGCAUUGGAAACCUUAAACUAUUCAAACAUUAACUACAAAUUUUGUUCACGAAAAAAUGUUAUAAUCAAAGUUGUUGUGGCUAGGCAGUUGGCCAUUUUGCAUUGCUUUGAUGGUGAUUUACUUGGAUGAAUUAUGUUUCCAAACCUUAAAUAGCAAGAAGCAAAGCCACUUUCCACGUGUUUUUCCUAGUACAAAUACCCACUGAUUUUUGUUACUUUAAUUAAGCUGACAAGCUACAACGCUUUGUUACUUAAAUUUAGAAUAAUUUAUGAUAACGAUGAAAGCAUCGCUUCUAUAAAUACAGGAUGGGCUUUCAGGUCCAAAGUGCAUCCAAAGCCUGCAGAUGCUGGAUGAAGAAGAUGAAGAUGCUGAAGGUGCUGAAGGUGCUGAAGGUGCUGAAGAUGCUGGAGAUGAAGAUGCAAGGCUGUGGGAGGUAUUUGAAGCCGUUUCCCGCUGCCGGACCCGUCCCGCCCCGCUCGGGGCUCCGCAGCCGCCCCGGCCCGUCCCGCAGCCCGGGCGCGGCGGCCCUCGGGGGACACCUGCCGGUGGCCGCGCCGCGGUGCAGCCGCCCCUCCCCGGCCCGCGCCCGGCGGCCUCAGGAGCUGCCGCGGCUCCUUCCGAGCGAGAGCUCCGCGGUUCUCGGCAGGGUGUGGCUGAGCAAAGCUCCCAGUCAGCCCUAAAACUCCGUGCUGUGCAAUUCUGUCGCAGAGAAAACGGGCAGGCGUGUACACGUCCUUGAAUUUACUGGGGAAAGGACAGCGCUUGUUACUAUUGCUUAUUAAGAGCUACACCAAUAUCAUUUACUUAGGAAAUAAGCUCUGCUUAUUUCAUAUUCAUAUAGGGAAUGUGGGCAGUAGUCCGAGUUAUCAGCUCUUGAAAACACCUGCACUGGGUGUGUGAAUGAGACAGCCAGGCUUUUUUAUCCUUCCUAUGGAUAGCCGGUCUGCUCUGAGGAAAUUGUUUUGGGCUUUUUCUAUAAUGUUCAUCACACUGUGAUUGUGUAUAUAUUGUAUAUAUAUUGUACAUGUAUUAUGUAGCUACUUCACUAACUUUGUUUUCUCUCAAGAGCAGAGGGAGGAGGGUUCUAUAAUAUCCAUUCCAUUGCAAGGGAAAGGAGAUGUAGGAAGUUCAGUGUCAAAAGCAUCCUCUAGUGUUGAUUGCCCGCUUCUGAGAUAGAAUUAUAGAAUUGUUUAUGUUGGAAAAGAUCUGUAAGACAAUUGAGUCCAACCAUUCCUCCAGCACUGCUAAACCACUAAACCAAGUCCCCAAGUGCCACAUCCACACAUCUUUAAAAUCCCCCAGGGGGAUGGUGACUCCACCUCUAUCCAUGGCCCCCUGAUCCAAUGCUUGACAACUCUUUCCAUGCAGAAAUGUUCCCUAAUAUCCAAUCUAAGCCUCCCUGAUGAAACCUGAAGUCUUUCCUCUGGUUCUGUCACUAGUUACUUGAAAGAAGAGACUGAGUGCCUAGAGAAUGCUUUCUCAGACCAUUUGGCAUUGUACAUAAUUUAGUUUUGCUCAAAUCACAGCUCCCACUGUCCUCAGCUGUAGUUAUAAAUGCUUGAGACUUCAGUAUUUAGACCCUGGGCCUCAGUUUGUUAUUCCGAGGAAAAAAAAAAAAGAAAACAUAUCUGAAGUAUUAUGGCAUAACUGAAUUGUGAACUGUAUACUGCCAGCUGGGCAGGAUGCCAAUUAGAAAUAUUCGAUGCUUUAAUGAUAGACAGUCCAUUCUCUUCCUGUAACUUUCUGCUUGGAUUUCUGCCCAAGUCGAGGGAACUUGGUGACCUGAGACCUAGUGCCUCAUGUCACUCCUCAGUAUUUGACUGUGAGGCUGCUCCAAGGCAAUUUUGCGGUGUUUGUAGUCCAAGUGGAAUGGAUCAUAUCUUCAGCAAUUCUUACUUUGGGCAUGGGAUCUGUCCACUUACUGUCUAGAGCCACAUUCACAUCUUUUUCCAGACAGUUUCAGCUGUUCCUAGGCUGAUUGUAAUAUAGGAGACUGUAUGUUGACUGAGCAUCAGUCAUUUGCCUCAUGGAUGAAGGAAAAUCAAGUAAAGGUAAUUUGCACUAAAGUGAUUUAAAAAAUGCUUCUAUUUAGUACACUAGAUGGCCAUGCAUUUCUGAAAUUGUAGUGAAACAUACCUGUAAUCAAAAAUUUGGACCUGUUGACCACAUCUAAAUUUGCAUAGUGCACCACAGUGAUGUCCCUUCCAGCUCCCUUUCUAAAUAUGCAAUAGUUUUGUGGCCUUUGAUCCACGGUACCGUAGUCUUAGGUGGGUGUUUUGUGGCUUACUGUAGGAGCCCAGAGUGUAUGGUCCUGCAAUCCCUUGUUGACCCUUUGCCACUGAAGAAAUCCUCCAUGAUGUGUUAAUAUUUGCUCACUGUGUCAUGCUAAGCAAGACACUACCUUGGAACAAAGUAUACCUGUAAUAAAGUAUAUUUAGGAAAAGAGCUGGCCAUUUGUAGGCUAUGGUAUUAUUUCUUCUGCCAGCGAGUUAGGGCUGGGCUGUGUUUCCAAACACUGUGUUUCAUAGCCAACAAGGGAUCUUGGAUCAGUUUGUCUCAAUCCUCCUUGUCACUGAGUUGUAUUUUUAGGCUGUGCAACACCAUGUAUUAAUGAGUUCCAUGACUUAGCUGUACAUACUUUUAAUGGAAGAAUGUGUAAUUGGCUGACA